This 468-nucleotide ribosomal RNA is filed under the name uncultured bacterium. Its description in RNAcentral is "partial 16S ribosomal RNA". It matches the Rfam family "Bacterial small subunit ribosomal RNA", at positions 28 to 507 of the family's 1533-position model. The record is from RNAcentral.
GACGAACGCUGGCGGCGUGCUUAACACAUGCAAGUCGAACGGAAAGGCCCUGCUUUUGUGGGGUGCUCGCGUGGCGAACGGGUGAGUAACCCGUGAGUAUCCUGCCCUUGACUUUGGGAUAACUUCAGGCAACUGGGGCUAAUACCGGCUAGGAGCUCCUGCUGCAUGGUGGGGGUUGGAAAGCUUCGGCGGUUGGGGAUGGACUCCCGGGUAAUCAGCUUGUUGGUGGGGUAGUGGCUUACCAAGGCUUUGACGGGUAGCCGGCCUGAGAGGGGGGCCAGCGACAUGGGGACUGAGGGACGGCCCAGACUGCUACGGGAGACAGUAGUGGGAAAUAUUGCACAGUGGGCGGAAGCCUGAUGCAGCAGCGCCGGGAGCGGGAUGACGGCCUACGGGUGGUAAACCGCUUUCGCCUGUGACGAAGCGUGAGUGACGGUAAUAGGUAAAGAAGCACCGGCUAACUACGUG